UGUUUGUUUUUAAUAUUAGAAUAUACAAUUGGCUUUAAUCCAGGAAAUUCUUCUCCUCUAAAAGAGUGCUUGGGCACCUGUUGCUGAAAUGGAUGAUAAGCUGCAAGUCAUUUCUAACUGAACAUGGGAAAAUAACAAACUCAAUUCAUUAUGAUCAUCUAUGAAGUCCACAUGCUGCAAAUGCACUCUCCAGGCACCUGCUUACAGUACAGACCCCUGCAGCUGGAACAGGAUGUGGGACUAGAAAUAAUUUCUCCUUUCAAACAUUUUAAGUCAGACUUGUUCUGAUGGUGACCUCACAGAUACGAAAAGAUUCAACAGUAAGACUUCAAACACUUUUCAGUCAUCUGCUAUGCUAUGAGUUUUGGAUAGAUUCACUACCAUCAAUGAAACACAUCAUUUUUUUGCACUGUUUUUCUUAUGCUAUAGUCUGGCUGCAUAUAUCUACAGCUAAAUGCUACUUAAAGAAAUGGAAGGGGGAAAAUAUUCAGGGGACCGAGCACAGUUGUGUUAUGUGCUUGCUGCAAGUCCUGUCUGUGGAGUUAGCAAUGGUCCCUGACCGUCUGAAGCAGCUAAUUACCAGUGUCUGUUCCCCAGCUCUGCAUGUAUGAACUCAGAGCAAUGCCUUACCUUCUUGUUUAGUGGCACCCUUUUGGUACCUGCUCUGUGUCAGGUUGUGAGAUGCAAACCCUCAAAGUAGAACCCUCAAAGUAGUAAAGUCCUAUACUUUAUGGAUGAAAAUAAUCAUGGGUUUAGGUUCCUGAUGGAACUUGCCACACAGUCGGAAUCUUGUCAUUUAAAAAGGAAACUUAGGCAAGAAAUCUUGUUACUUCUACGCUAUUCUUAUCUCUGGUUUUUUGUUUUGUUUGUUGGUUUUGUUUUUUUUUGGAGCUCUGUUGUGAAAGCAUUUAUUAAACUGAAGUUAAUUCAUUGUGGGGCUUUUUGGGUGCUAUGGUCCACACAUUACUCAUUUUUUAUAUUAAUUUAAUGGAAGAGGUUUUAUUUUGAAUUAAAAUUCAAGUCACCAUUGUUGGGGUAUUUAAAAACUCAGUCAAUUAUAUCAAGAAAAUAUCUUCACAGCAUCUUGGGUGUUUUCUACUUUGUUUCAGUGAAUUUUACUUCAAUUCAAGGACCAAAGAAAGACCACUGGUCCCAGGUUGCUAUGUCAAUAUUACACAAAGAAUUUGGAAAAUUUAAAUCUUCCAGUUCAGUUUAUUGUUACAACAUCAGCAAUAGUUUCAGUCAUCCCGUGGAGCAGGCACAAUCACAGUAAAACAUCAGUGUAGAUGCACUGACGUUUUGGGAAGGUGAACACAGGUAGACUCAUUUCAUAGCAUUUGCUAAGAAAGAGGAGCAAGUAAGUUUAGAGACUUUCCCACAGUCACUUUUCCAAAGCACAGAAAUAGAAAACCUCACACAUAAAUAUGAGUCUAAACAAAAACACUCUGAGCACACUUGUCCGUAUAUAAAAUACAGAAGGAUACAAAAAUCAGACCCCAUCAGAUGACAACUCUGAGAUACUAUGAAAUCAUAUUCUGAAAGAAGAAACUGUGAUGGAAAUAUAAAUUUACAUGAUGAUAUACUAUAGUUCUGUGUGACAUGGAUGCAUUUGCAUGAUAAAAUCUCAAUUAUGGUAUUAAUAAAGAUGUAUCUUUAAUGAGUAGAUGCUCCUGUUCUGAUUGCACAGUGACAGAAAUUUUACUGUGUAUAUUUGAUUUCCUUUGUUUGAAAUAA
Non-coding RNA from Cyanistes caeruleus (blue tit), 1734 nucleotides. The record is from RefSeq and is a predicted model, not a curated record. NCBI's taxonomy places the organism in Eukaryota, Metazoa, Chordata, Aves, Passeriformes, Paridae.